RNAcentral lists this ribosomal RNA (225 nucleotides) under uncultured bacterium. Its description in RNAcentral is "partial 16S ribosomal RNA". It matches the Rfam family "Bacterial small subunit ribosomal RNA", at positions 109 to 334 of the family's 1533-position model. The record is from RNAcentral.
CGUAACACGUGAGGAACUUGUCCCGGUCUCUGGGAUAACAGUUGGAAACGACUGCUAAUACCGGAUGACGUCGGAGCGUCGCAUGGCGCGCUGACGAAAGGGUUACUGGAUCGGGAGAGCCUCGCGGCCUAUCAGCUUGUUGGUGGGGUAACGGCCUACCAAGGCAUCGACGGGUAGCUGGUCUGAGAGGAUGAUCAGCCACACUGGGACUGAGACACGGCCCAG